Molecule: ribosomal RNA, 488 nt
Filed under: uncultured bacterium
Lineage: Bacteria
Description: partial 16S ribosomal RNA
Rfam family: Bacterial small subunit ribosomal RNA
Source: RNAcentral
AUUGAACGCUGGCGGCAUGCUUUACACAUGCCAGUCGAACGGCAGCACAGGGAGCUUGCUCCUGGGUGGCGAGUGGCGAACGGGUGAGUAAUGUAUCGGAACGUGCCUGGUAGUGGGGGAUAACUACUCGAAAGAGUGGCUAAUACCGCAUGAGAUCUUUGGAUGAAAGCGGGGGACCUUCGGGCCUCGUGCUACUGGAGCGGCCGAUAUCAGAUUAGGUUGUUGGUGGGGUAAAGGCCUACCAAGCCUGCGAUCUGUAGCUGGUCUGAGAGGACGACCAGCCACACUGGGACUGAGACACGGCCCAGACUCCUACGGGAGGCAGCAGUGGGGAAUUUUGGACAAUGGGCGCAAGCCUGAUCCAGCAAUGCCGCGUGCAGGACGAAGGCCUUCGGGUUGUAAACUGCUUUUGUACAGAACGAAAAGUCUCUGGCUAAUAUCUAGAGAUCAUGACGGUACUGUAAGAAUAAGCACCGGCUAACUACGUG